GCUGAAGAACGUAGUGAAAUGCGAUAAGUAAUGUGAAUUGCAGAAUUCAGUGAAUCAUCGAAUCUUUGAACGCACCUUGCGCCUUUUGGUAUUCCGAAAGGCACACCUGUUUGAGCGUCAUGAAUACCUCAAUCUCCAUCUUUUCUUCGGAUUGAUGGGUGACUUGGAUGUUGAGCCCUGCUGGUAUGCUAUAUCAGCUGGCUUUAAACUUAUUAGCCGGCUCUGUACUGGAUCGGUUUGACUCGACGUGAUAAUAUUAUCGUUGAGGAUGCAUGUCUCAUGCAGCCGGAAAGUAUCAAAGCAGCUUCUAGCUUGCCUUUAGUGCACUUUUACAUUUUAGACCUCAGAUCAGGUGGGACUACCCGCUGAACUUAAGCAUAUCAAUAAGCGGAGGA
This 395-nucleotide unclassified non-coding RNA is filed under the name soil metagenome. RNAcentral's name for it is "partial contains 5.8S ribosomal RNA, internal transcribed spacer 2, and large subunit ribosomal RNA". The stretch from base 3 to 120 matches the Rfam family "5.8S ribosomal RNA", at positions 37 to 154 of the family's 154-position model. The record is from RNAcentral.